UGGGGAAUAUUGGACAAUGGGCGGAAGCCUGAUCCAGCCAUGCCGCGUGUGUGAAGAAGGCCUUUUGGUUGUAAAGCACUUUAAGCGAGGAGGAGGCUACUGGUACUAAUACUACUGGAUAGUGGACGUUACUCGCAGAAUAAGCACCGGCUAACUCUGUGCCAGCAGCCGCGGUAAUACAGAGGGUGCGAGCGUUAAUCGGAUUUACUGGGCGUAAAGCGUGCGUAGGCGGCUGAUUAAGUCGGAUGUGAAAUCCCUGAGCUUAACUUAGGAAUUGCAUUCGAUACUGGUCAGCUAGAGUAUGGGAGAGGAUGGUAGAAUUCCAGGUGUAGCGGUGAAAUGCGUAGAGAUCUGGAGGAAUACCGAUGGCGAAGGCAGCCAUCUGGCCUAAUACUGACGCUGAGGUACGAAAGCAUGGGGAGCAAACAGG
Molecule: ribosomal RNA, 430 nt
Filed under: uncultured bacterium
Lineage: Bacteria
Description: bacterial SSU rRNA
Rfam family: Bacterial small subunit ribosomal RNA
Source: RNAcentral